AGUCCCCUGGAAGACGACCAGGUUGAUAGGCCGGAUGUGUAAGCAUGGUAACAUGUUCAGCUAACCGGUACUAACGGACGAAUGCUUGGCCACA
RNAcentral lists this ribosomal RNA (94 nucleotides) under Pirellulaceae bacterium. RNAcentral describes it as "partial 23S ribosomal RNA". It matches the Rfam family "Bacterial large subunit ribosomal RNA", at positions 2831 to 2925 of the family's 2925-position model. The record is from RNAcentral. Lineage: Bacteria; Pseudomonadati; Planctomycetota; Planctomycetia; Pirellulales; Pirellulaceae.